CAUAUUUCCAUUUCCACUAUAAAACAGAGAAACUUCCACCUAUCAUUUGACCCCAAAUCCUACUAUUCCAAAUGUCAUCCAAUGGGUGAAUUGCAACUAUUCCAAAGACAAGUUGGAUACUUAUCACUAGCUACACUAUUAAGGAUAAUUUUAACUAACAUUUCAACAUUAAUUAUAUUGAAUAUCAAUAUGUUUAUCAAUAUGCAAAAAGGACUCUAACAUCUUUAAACCUUCAUAAGCAUAAUUUAACCCAAAAUGUUUGCAAAAUAUUAUCAAUAAUCCAAAGUUCAUUCAGGAAUGCUAAACCAUAUACAUACAUAAUUUAUAACAAAUAUAAAUCUCAGCUACACAAAUAAAAUAAGAAUUUUCGAAGUUGAAUAUGAAAAGUAAGAAACUUUCACCAAAAUAAUUUACAGAGCUCAAUCUACUUAGAAUUUCACCCUAAUCCAAGAAUUAAAGUUGCUAAGGAUAAUUUUUAGAAAUUUUUAAAAAUAUAAAAACCCAUUUCUAGGCGGGUCUUAC
This 522-nucleotide unclassified non-coding RNA is filed under the name Hevea brasiliensis (rubber tree). Lineage: Eukaryota; Viridiplantae; Streptophyta; Magnoliopsida; Malpighiales; Euphorbiaceae. The record is from RNAcentral.